Molecule: ribosomal RNA, 426 nt
Filed under: uncultured prokaryote
Description: bacterial SSU rRNA
Rfam family: Bacterial small subunit ribosomal RNA
Source: RNAcentral
UGGGGAAUUUUGCGCAAUGGACGAAAGUCUGACGCAGCGACGCCGCGUGGGUGAUGAAGGCCCUCGGGUUGUAAAGCCCUGUGGGGAGGGAAGAAUAAGGGUACGUAAAUAGCGUAUCUGAUGACGGUACCUCCUUAGCAAGCACCGGCUAACUCUGUGCCAGCAGCCGCGGUAAGACAGAGGGUGCAAACGUUGUUCGGAAUUACUGGGCGUAAAGCGCGUGUAGGCGGCUAAGCAAGUCGGGUGUGAAAGCCCUUGGCUCAACUGAGGAAGAGUACUCGAAACUGCGUAGCUUGAGUUCUGGAGAGGAUGGUGGAAUUCUCGGUGUAGAGGUGAAAUUCGUAGAUAUCGAGAGGAACACCAGUGGCGAAGGCGGCCAUCUGGACAGAAACUGACGCUGAGACGCGAAAGCGUGGGUAGCAAACA